GUAAAUGAACAGCUCCCCAAUACCUGAUUCAGAUUCUUGAAUGAGCCAGAAAAAAAUUGUAGUUUAGUGGUUCAAAAGAUUCUACACACUCCAGAUGGAGAGUUUAAUGAUAAUGCUGAAAUUACCACCUAAAGUACUCAACCAUUGUUUUUUUCUUUUUGUCCAGUUUCUCCCACUAUACAGCAUAAAGAAUAUGUUACAAUUGAA
Molecule: long non-coding RNA, 207 nt
Filed under: Carica papaya (papaya)
Lineage: Eukaryota; Viridiplantae; Streptophyta; Magnoliopsida; Brassicales; Caricaceae
Description: long non-coding RNA (CPAP_LNC001367)
Source: RNAcentral